This 520-nucleotide ribosomal RNA is filed under the name uncultured Glomus. Its description in RNAcentral is "SSU rRNA". It matches the Rfam family "Eukaryotic small subunit ribosomal RNA", at positions 569 to 1090 of the family's 1831-position model. The record is from RNAcentral. Lineage: Eukaryota; Fungi; Glomeromycota; Glomeromycetes; Glomerales; Glomeraceae.
CGCAGCCGCGGUAAUUCCAGCCCCAAUAGCGUAUAUUAAAGUUGUUGCAGUUAAAAAGCUCGUAGUUGAAUUUCGGGGUCAGUAGGUUGGUCGUGCCACUGGUAUGCACUGGUCUCACUGAUUCCUCCUUCCUGAUGAACCGUAAUGCCAUUAAUUUGGUGUUGCGGGGAAUCUGGACUGUUACUUUGAAAAAAUUAGAGUGUUUAAAGCAGGCUAACGCUUGGAUACAUUAGCAUGGAAUAAUGAAAUAGGACGUUCGACCCUAUUUUGUUGGUUUCUAGGAUUGACGUAAUGAUUAAUAGGGAUAGUUGGGGGCAUUAGUAUUCAAUUGUCAGAGGUGAAAUUCUUGGAUUUAUUGAAGACUAACUACUGCGAAAGCAUUUGCCAAGGAUGGUUUCAUUAAUCAAGAACGAAAGUUAGGGGAUCGAAGACGAUCAGAUACCGUCGUAGUCUUAACCAUAAACUAUGCCGACUAGGGAUCGGAUGAUGUUAAUUUUUUAAUGACUCAUUCGGCGCCUUA